This 470-nucleotide ribosomal RNA is filed under the name uncultured Bacillaceae bacterium. RNAcentral describes it as "bacterial SSU rRNA". It matches the Rfam family "Bacterial small subunit ribosomal RNA", at positions 335 to 796 of the family's 1533-position model. The record is from RNAcentral. Lineage: Bacteria; Bacillati; Bacillota; Bacilli; Caryophanales; Bacillaceae.
UCACCUACGGGUGGCAGCAGUAGGGAAUCUUCCGCAAUGGACGAAAGUCUGACGGAGCAACGCCGCGUGAGUGAUGAAGGCUUUCGGGUCGUAAAACUCUGUUGUUAGGGAAGAACAAGUGCUAGUUGAAUAAGCUGGCACCUUGACGGUACCUAACCAGAAAGCCACGGCUAACUACGUGCCAGCAGCCGCGGUAAUACGUAGGUGGCAAGCGUUAUCCGGAAUUAUUGGGCGUAAAGCGCGCGCAGGUGGUUUCUUAAGUCUGAUGUGAAAGCCCACGGCUCAACCGUGGAGGGUCAUUGGAAACUGGGAGACUUGAGUGCAGAAGAGGAAAGUGGAAUUCCAUGUGUAGCGGUGAAAUGCGUAGAGAUAUGGAGGAACACCAGUGGCGAAGGCGACUUUCUGGUCUGUAACUGACACUGAGGCGCGAAAGCGUGGGGAGCAAACAGGAUUAGAUACCCCGGUAGUCC